ACUUGCCCCGAGAUGAGUUCUCCCUGAGACUUUAAGUCUCCUGAAGGAACGUUGAAGACGACGACGUUGAUAGGCCGGGUGUGUAAGCGCAGCGAUGCGUUGAGCUAACCGGUACUAAUGAACCGUGAGGCUUAACCUU
RNAcentral lists this ribosomal RNA (139 nucleotides) under Escherichia coli. RNAcentral describes it as "partial 23S ribosomal RNA". It matches the Rfam family "Bacterial large subunit ribosomal RNA", at positions 2792 to 2925 of the family's 2925-position model. The record is from RNAcentral. Lineage: Bacteria; Pseudomonadati; Pseudomonadota; Gammaproteobacteria; Enterobacterales; Enterobacteriaceae. RNAcentral also lists the same sequence under 1 other name.